Molecule: ribosomal RNA, 549 nt
Filed under: Navosoma luctuosum
Lineage: Eukaryota; Metazoa; Arthropoda; Insecta; Coleoptera; Cerambycidae
Description: partial 16S ribosomal RNA
Source: RNAcentral
UAAAAUUGGUUUAUGUGUUUAGGGUUCCCGAACUUGGAAGGGUUACUUAAUAAUAAAUUUUAUUGUAGAAUAAAUAUUUAUAAUUGUUAGGUAGAAGCGAGAUGUUAUACGUUUCCAAAUAUAUCUGGUUUUUCCAGAAAUGAAUUUAAUUCAGCUAGGUUUGUUUUAUUGGCUAAAUUUGAAGUUAGUAGGAUUGGCCUAGAGUAAUAUGCUAAGGGAUGAGCUUUGGUAUAAAUUUCUAUAAAUUUAUGUUGGUAAUAAAAUGGGUAGGAUUAGAAGUUUUCACUCUUAGGAAGAUGUUAUAGUCAAUUUUAGUGUAAUUUUUAUUUUUAUAAUUUUUAGGGAGUUUAUGGGAAUGAAGAUUUGAACAGAUAUAAUUAAGUAAUAAUGGUAGAAUUAGUAUAAUAAUAUUUAAGAAUGAGUAUUUGGAUUUAGGUUAGUAAAAGGAAUUCGGCAAAUAGUUUUUCACCUGUUUAUUAAAAACAUGGCCUUUUGAUAAUUAUUUAAGGUCUGGCCUGCCCACUGAGCUUUGAAUGGCCGCGGUACUCU